RNAcentral lists this transfer RNA (71 nucleotides) under Ictidomys tridecemlineatus (thirteen-lined ground squirrel). Its description in RNAcentral is "Spermophilus tridecemlineatus (thirteen-lined ground squirrel) tRNA". It matches the Rfam family "tRNA". Rfam says of the family: Transfer RNA (tRNA) molecules are approximately 80 nucleotides in length. Their secondary structure includes four short double-helical elements and three loops (D, anti-codon, and T loops). Lineage: Eukaryota; Metazoa; Chordata; Mammalia; Rodentia; Sciuridae. The record is from Rfam by way of RNAcentral.
GUGGCUGUAGCUCAGUGAUAGAGCACUUGCCCAGCAUGUGAGAGGCCCUGGGUUCAAUCCUCAGCACCAUA